Homo sapiens (human) is the source of this 458-nucleotide long non-coding RNA. Ensembl annotates it as GNG12, DIRAS3 and WLS antisense RNA 1. Its record names the gene GNG12-AS1. The record is from Ensembl. Lineage: Eukaryota; Metazoa; Chordata; Mammalia; Primates; Hominidae.
AUGCACCAUAGAUUAAUUCAAAUCCAGUGUCUACCACUCACUCGGCUUAAUGUAAGACAAGAUGAAGACUCCAGACUUCAGAACUUCAGUGUCCAGGGAAGGGGCUGAAAUACCAGACUGCGAUGUACCAUCUCUUGGUUGCUAUGACUGAGGCCAUUAAAAUGGCAGGCAUUAAAAGACUGCACCUCAGUACCCAGCUACAAAGCCUCAAGGUCACUGCAUUCCACAGCUUCCCGUCGCCUUUCAUUCCUGGCCUCAGAGCUUCAAUAUCCUGGCGAGAUCCCCUCGCAUUAUAUUUCAUGAGGCUUAAAUGCAAGCUCUCCCACAGCAAGCCCGAGAGUAUAAUGGGGGUUUUAAUACAUUCCUUUUACCUAAGGCUGGGAUCCAUUUCAAAAAGUUACCCAAUAGGUUUCCUUUCAGGUGAGCUCAUUGCUCUGACAUUCCAAAAUGACAUUAAA